RNAcentral lists this non-coding RNA (96 nucleotides) under Clostridium septicum. Its description in RNAcentral is "Purine riboswitch". It matches the Rfam family "Purine riboswitch aptamer". Rfam says of the family: Riboswitches are metabolite binding domains within certain messenger RNAs that serve as precision sensors for their corresponding targets. Allosteric rearrangement of mRNA structure is mediated by ligand binding, and this results in modulation of gene expression. A class of riboswitches that selectively recognises guanine and becomes saturated at concentrations as low as 5 nM. The record is from RNAcentral. Lineage: Bacteria; Bacillati; Bacillota; Clostridia; Eubacteriales; Clostridiaceae.
AAUAAGUAACAAUAACCUUCGUAUAUGCUUAAUAAUAUGGUUUAAGCGUUUCUACAAUACUACCGUAAAAAGUAUUACUAUGAAGAUAAUAAAAAU